Long non-coding RNA from Centropristis striata (black sea bass), 1316 nucleotides. RefSeq lists it as uncharacterized. The transcript has 3 exons. The record is from RefSeq and is a predicted model, not a curated record. Lineage: Eukaryota; Metazoa; Chordata; Actinopteri; Perciformes; Serranidae.
AUACACAAGACUUGUGUCUACUGUUUAAAGUUUAAAUGGAGUCUCUAGGUGAAAUUAUGCCGGAGAAGUAGACGUUUAAAUAUCUCCAAUUAUUGUUCUUUUUCGCUCAUUUUCGUUCGGCCGUCCGAUUCAUUUCAAUGCAAAAUUUUGGGCAGUUUUUCGCGACUUACGUCGCGAAAAAUUCGUAUUCUGUAGAGAAAAGUAAUAGCACACCGAUCCCGAUCAAACCGCACGUUUUGAUAUAUAAUUUGUCCUGCAACUCUUCAAGUUGUAGGACUAGUAGCGGGACGAAAUUGCGUCCGCAAGAGGAAUAAGAAGAAAUCCACAGUAUAACAGUAGCGCAGCACUGGUCCCUACAGCUAUUGCUGUAUGGGACCAGUGCUCGGUGCAAUUGCUCCGAGGCCCUAAUUAACUGAAAGGGGUAAUAGUAGUGGUAAUGUACUUUACAUAUGUAUUUGGGGUGUGGUUUCUGAAAUUGCUGCGCUAAAUAUAUCAACAGGAAAUGCUAACUGUUGUAGAAUUUUAAUUUUGCAUGUCUAAUUGUAUUGUAUUGUAUCAAAGGUUCUCAAUCUGGCUUGAGGGGAAUCCCUGCUGUCUAAACUCUACCUGGAAGCAAGACAAGAGGCUCUCACAGAGGAUCUAUCAGAUAUCGACUUCAGAGCAACCCUCAUCUUUCUGCCACACAUCUUCAAGGAGAACAUUGAGUGCUUUAUUACUCUUGGAAAGUUCCUGCCACUCCAUACCCAACUAUCCAGUUGACGGAUGAAGACUUGAAAAUGGCCUUCACUAGGAGAGCUCCGAACGUUGUGAAAGUGGACGGCAUCGAGUCACAGCUCAGCAAUUGACGAGGGAAUGUUUUGGCAAAUCAAGUACAUUUUGAACAUCGAUACCUUGUGUAAAGGUUGAUUGAGAAUGGACUUUACUAAAACCAGGUGAUGAAAUGGACUACCGAAUAUUUGACACUUAUUCUGUGGAUAACAGUUUUAUGUCACACUUCAACAUAGUAUUUAAAAAUGUACAAAAUUGACAAAAUCAUGUGAAAAUCUUAGAUCUUCUGUCAUGAGUGUCAUUUUCAUUUAUGCAGUUUUAAGGUUGGUGGAGAAUGGACUUGCUUGCAAUGGACAAUUUUACAUUGUUUAGUGUAGAUGAUAUAUUGUUGAAUACACAGUUUUUUGACAAAAUUCAUAGCAAAGCUCAGUAAAAGAGUUUUGGGAAGUUUAACACAUAAUAGAGCAUGAAUUGUUUUAAUUUUUAUAUUUUUGUAUUUUACUUUAAUUUUAAAGUUUUUAAUUUGAAGUGUGAAUGCUGCUAACCUU